Long non-coding RNA from Anastrepha ludens (Mexican fruit fly), 438 nucleotides. RefSeq lists it as uncharacterized. The transcript is spliced from 3 exons. Lineage: Eukaryota; Metazoa; Arthropoda; Insecta; Diptera; Tephritidae. The record is from RefSeq and is a predicted model, not a curated record.
AUUCACAUGCUGUUACUCAUCAGAGAAUAAUUUUAAAUAAUACGCCAAUUUAUCUCAAAGGUAUGCGAAUGCCCAGCAGUGAUGGAAAAGUUGGCACUGCACAUGCAGCGCUCUACCCAAUAUUUCACACCUAAUCGGUACUUCAGACACAUAUUAUCUAUUUUAGAUACAAUUCGUAAGGUGAUUGUUUAUUUUGCAGCAAUCUCGCCACUACGCUCAAGCAAAAAGGCCUAACACUCACACUACUGCAUACCUAGGUGCCUGUCAAAAAAAUUGGAAGAAGAGGAGUGUUUUCAGGAGUUGAUAAAAUAUAAUGAAUUAAUUGCUAUACCUAUUCAUGCGCCUAACCAGGAGUCAGAAGAGACUGAAAUUAUCGUUUUUCAUUACUUCUUUGGAAUAAUUUGCAUAGUAUUAUAUAAUGUUCUAAUAAAUAAAUUU